UCUCCGUACGGGGAAGGAUGAGAAGCUUUGACUAAGGUUCGAUUCGAGCGCAGCGAGAAAGCGUUGCCGCAGGCAACGACCCGAAGGGUGAGGAGCGGAGCGACGAAUAAUCCUUCCCCCACCACCA
RNAcentral lists this small RNA (127 nucleotides) under Salmonella enterica. RNAcentral's name for it is "RtT sRNA". It matches the Rfam family "RtT RNA". From Rfam's summary of the family: This family represents a bacterial cis-regulatory element known as RtT RNA. The exact function of RtT is unknown although it is thought that it may be involved in changing the cellular response in relation to amino acid starvation. Lineage: Bacteria; Pseudomonadati; Pseudomonadota; Gammaproteobacteria; Enterobacterales; Enterobacteriaceae. The record is from RNAcentral.